Molecule: long non-coding RNA, 690 nt
Filed under: Ananas comosus (pineapple)
Lineage: Eukaryota; Viridiplantae; Streptophyta; Magnoliopsida; Poales; Bromeliaceae
Description: long non-coding RNA (ACOM_LNC001984)
Source: RNAcentral
GAGAGCUAAGGAAUCAAAUUCUGCAAAACUGCAGAUUUUCAGCUCUCGGGGACCGGUCCCUGGUGGGAGAGACCGGUCCCCGAACGCGUAUGAAAUGAGACAGCCGAAAAAUCGGCUAAGUCCGGAGAAAUCAGCUCUCGGGAACCGGUCCCUACCCGAGAGACCGGUCCCCGAGAGACCGGUCCCACAAAGAGAGACCGAUUGCACUGCGCGCAGCAGCUCUGGCUGCGCUGGGACGACGUUCGGGAACCGGUCCCUGAAGGAGAGACCGGUCCCUGCCUGCGCGAUCAGCCCAGUCCAGGCAGUGCACAGAGGUAAAAGUUGAGGGGUUUAGUUGCAAUUUUGCAACCCAAUAGGCUAAGUAAGAGGGCAAAUGAGAUAUUUCUCUCAUUUCCUCACCCUCUCACGCUCUCUUCUCUCCCUCUCUCUCUCUAGAAAGCAAAGGAGAAGAAGAAGAAAGGAAGAAAGGAGGAAAAGAAGGAAAAGAAGGUGAAGAAGAAGAUCAAGUAGCAAGCUUACCUCUUCUCCUUCCUCCUUGGAGCAACUUUGGGAAAGCUUUGAGGUAAGCUUUGAUCCCAAGUAUAGUAAAACCCUAGAAUGAGUUUUGAAUGACCUAGAAAUGGGUUUUAAUGGAAUGUUUAAAGAGUUUUGAAGCUUUCUUUUGCUUCUUUGGAGAUCAAAACCUUGGUU